GGCGCAGGUUGAAUGAUCGCGUUGGCUUGUAGGUCCAGAGUUAAGAGAUCCUUCGGUGCUUUGCACCUCAGGAUCAUCGGCUUAAAUUUGGGUACUAGGGCCGAUGAGGAAAGUCCGGGCUCCGAAGGGCAGCGUAGCGGGUAACGCCCGCCAGAAGAGUAUUUUACUUUUCGAGGAUUAGAGCCACAGAGACGAGUAACGGCUGCAAGGCUGUGAUGUGAAACGCGGCACUCUCUACGCGGAGCAAGACCAAAUAGGUCCGGCUGAAAGAGCUGCCCGCUCGUAAUAGCCGGACGGGUAGGUUGCAUGAUUCUGGCAGCAAUGACAGAACAUAGAUAGAUGAUCAUUAUCCGGCGAAGUCCGCCUUUGGCGGACGAAGACGGAACAGAACCCGGCUUAAAGUCCUGCGCCUAUU
This 415-nucleotide RNase P RNA is filed under the name Candidatus Omnitrophota bacterium. RNAcentral's name for it is "RNase P RNA component class A". It matches the Rfam family "Bacterial RNase P class A". From Rfam's summary of the family: Ribonuclease P (RNase P) is a ubiquitous endoribonuclease, found in archaea, bacteria and eukarya as well as chloroplasts and mitochondria. Its best characterised activity is the generation of mature 5'-ends of tRNAs by cleaving the 5'-leader elements of precursor-tRNAs. Lineage: Bacteria; Pseudomonadati; Candidatus Omnitrophota. The record is from RNAcentral.